UACGUAGGGGGCAAGCGUUGUCCGGAUUUACUGGGCGUAAAGAGCGUGUAGGCGGCCACGCAGGUCCGUUGUGAAAACUGGAGGCUCAACUUCCAGCCGUCGACGGAAACCGUGUGGCUAGAGUCCGGAAGAGGAGAGUGGAAUUCCUGGUGUAGCGGUGAAAUGCGCAGAUAUCAGGAAGAACACCAAUGGCGAAGGCAGCUCGCUGGGACGUGACUGACGCUGAGACGCGAAAGCGUGGGGAGCAAACAGG
RNAcentral lists this ribosomal RNA (253 nucleotides) under uncultured bacterium. RNAcentral's name for it is "partial 16S ribosomal RNA". It matches the Rfam family "Bacterial small subunit ribosomal RNA", at positions 524 to 776 of the family's 1533-position model. The record is from RNAcentral.